Molecule: transfer RNA, 52 nt
Filed under: Serratia marcescens
Lineage: Bacteria; Pseudomonadati; Pseudomonadota; Gammaproteobacteria; Enterobacterales; Yersiniaceae
Description: tRNA-Leu
Rfam family: tRNA
About the family: Transfer RNA (tRNA) molecules are approximately 80 nucleotides in length.
Source: RNAcentral
CGUCGGGCUCAUAACCCGAAGGUCGUCGGUUCAAAUCCGGCCCCCGCAACCA